GAUUAUAAACUGUUAUGAACCCUGGAGAGUGCUAUUAUGAAUAAUGUCUUGGCUUGUUGUGGCAAUGUUACAAGGUAAAGGAGGUGUCCAUUACUGUGAAGAACACAGCCUCGUUUACCAUCUUAACACUGAGCUACGCAGACAACUCAGCAAGUUAGUACCCAACUUCACCACUUUAUCAUCAUCGCAGAAGGCGGAAAGUUGUGUCUUUUUUAUUUAUCUCUUUGCAAAAUCUUACCACUGGAUGUCUGCACUAUUCACGUUUGACAGGACACUGAGUGUACGCACUGGAAUCCUGAAUUUGGGUCUGGCUCUCUACUAAGGGCGGUCGAGCCUACGGCGGAGGGAAACGUCACCUGGACAUCUUUAGCUGAACAGUUCAGCAAACAGUUUAAAGGAAGGAGGGCUAGCAAUGAGACACACCACUGCUACAGGAGGUGCUGCAUGAACUCGACCAGAUUUGAUGGAUGGCCCACAGCUGUUUGUAGUUGUGUCACUCUGCAGAACAUUACGCCUCUCUCCUUCUCUUCUCUCUAAUGACAUGGGGGCCAGAAUCUCUGAGCCCCCUGCGGCCGCACAGCUGCACAUCACUUCUUGUGGGCUUCCUUGGAUCUACCGAGCUCAACGUAUUCCAGCCCAAACAAACCUCCGAAUACCGCACGCGCGUGCCAGCAUGUUGGCUAAACCCACUGAAAGCACAUGCCGCCAAUUUAAUCCCCCACAACGCCUGGCACCCUAUAAUAGGGCCACCAGGGACCAGGAGCAGUGAAGUCCUUCAGCUAACAGGGGUGAUGCAUAGCAGGAAAAAAACCUGACCCGGAAGCUGCCCUUCUAUCCACCAGCUUUCAUUUUAACUUCGCUCAAAUGCUUGUGUAUCCUGGUUUCCUACUUUCCAAACCAAUUUGUUUUAACUGAAUAAAUCCUUCUCUAGAGCUGUUGCUUUUUUCUUUCUCCCAUGAUUCUCCUGCAUAGCCCCUGCUUAAGCUUGGCCUUUUUCUUCAUGAAG
This is a long non-coding RNA of Tachysurus fulvidraco (yellow catfish), 1006 nucleotides long. RefSeq lists it as uncharacterized. The transcript has 3 exons. The record is from RefSeq and is a predicted model, not a curated record. Lineage: Eukaryota; Metazoa; Chordata; Actinopteri; Siluriformes; Bagridae.